This 253-nucleotide ribosomal RNA is filed under the name uncultured bacterium. Its description in RNAcentral is "partial 16S ribosomal RNA". It matches the Rfam family "Bacterial small subunit ribosomal RNA", at positions 524 to 776 of the family's 1533-position model. The record is from RNAcentral.
GACGUAGGGCGCGAGCGUUGUCCGGAUUUAUUGGGCGUAAAGAGCUCGUAGGCGGCUUGUUGCGUCGACUGUGAAAACCCGCGGCUUAACUGCGGGCUUGCAGUUGAUACGGGCAGGCUAGAGUUCGGUAGGGGAGACUGGAAUUCCUGGUGUAGCGGUGAAAUGCGCAGAUAUCAGGAGGAACACCGGUGGCGAAGGCGGGGCUCUGGGCCGAUACUGACGCUGAGGAGCGAAAGCGUGGGGAGCGAACAGG